RNAcentral lists this ribosomal RNA (491 nucleotides) under uncultured bacterium. Its description in RNAcentral is "bacterial SSU rRNA". It matches the Rfam family "Bacterial small subunit ribosomal RNA", at positions 28 to 517 of the family's 1533-position model. The record is from RNAcentral.
GAUGAACGCUAGCGGCAGGCCUAAUACAUGCAAGUCGAGGGGCAGCACGGUAGCAAUACUGGUGGCGACCGGCGCACGGGUGCGUAACACGUAUGCAACCUGCCUUCAACUGGGAGAUAGCCCGGGGAAACUCGGAUUAAUACCCCCAUAACACAGUGAAACAGCAUUGUUUAUUGUUAAAGCUCCGGCGGUUGAAGAUGGGCAUGCGUUCGAUUAGCUAGUUGGUGUAGGUAAUGGCUCACCAAGGCUACGAUCGAUAGGGGGUCUGAGAGGAUGAUCCCCCACACUGGUACUGAGAUACGGACCAGACUCCUACGGAGGCAGCAGUAGGGAAUAUUGGUCAAUGGACGCAAGUCUGAACCAGCCAUGCCGCGUGCAGGAAGACGGCCCUCUGGGUUGUAAACUGCUUUUGAUAGGGAACAAAUGCCACUUGCGAGUGGAGCUGAGUGUACCUAUAGAAUAAGCACCGGCUAACUCCGUGCCAGCAGCCG